Molecule: long non-coding RNA, 339 nt
Filed under: Mytilus galloprovincialis (Mediterranean mussel)
Lineage: Eukaryota; Metazoa; Mollusca; Bivalvia; Mytilida; Mytilidae
Source: RNAcentral
CAUAAACGUGCUGCAACCAUACUGUAUGACUUCAGAAACUCGUCUUACUGUCCUUCCGACAACGAUACAAGUAGACACGAUUUGUUGCUGGCCAUUAAUGAACAGACCAACGUGUAGUGACAAUGAAACGUCAACAGAAUUUGAUUACGCAACGUCAUUUGCCAGACAUGUUUACGGCCGCAACGUCAACUGCUAAUCGAAUUGCCGAGUACCAGUGCGUACAGAUUCUUGCCAUAAAUGUUUCCUAUCAACUGAAUUGCCAAAGAAUCGACUAAAGGAAAACCUUUAAAGCCCUCAUGUUCCAACCGUAUAAUUGCCAAAAACAAUUAAUUGGUUGAA